This 50-nucleotide small RNA is filed under the name Myotis lucifugus (little brown bat). Its description in RNAcentral is "GRIK4 3 prime UTR element (ENSMLUG00000021592.1)". Lineage: Eukaryota; Metazoa; Chordata; Mammalia; Chiroptera; Vespertilionidae. The record is from RNAcentral.
UAGAGGCAGCAGAGACAGGAAUGGAGCCAAGGCGACGGAGGUGGGAGGCA